RNAcentral lists this ribosomal RNA (468 nucleotides) under uncultured bacterium. RNAcentral's name for it is "partial 16S ribosomal RNA". It matches the Rfam family "Bacterial small subunit ribosomal RNA", at positions 28 to 507 of the family's 1533-position model. The record is from RNAcentral.
GACGAACGCUGGCGGCGUGCUUAACACAUGCAAGUCGAACGGAAAGGCCCUGCUUUUGUGGGGUGCUCGAGUGGCGAACGGGUGAGUAACACGUGAGUAACCUGCCCUUGACUUUGGGAUAACUUCAGGAAACUGGGGCUAAUACCGGAUAGGAGCUCCUGCUGCAUGGUGGGGGUUGGAAAGUUUCGGCGGUUGGGGAUGGACUCGCGGCUUAUCAGCUUGUUGGUGGGGUAGUGGCUUACCAAGGCUUUGACGGGUAGCCGGCCUGGGAGGGUGACCGGCCACAUGGGGACUGAGAUACGGCCCAGACUCCUACGGGGGGCAGCAGUGGGGAAUAUUGCACAAUGGGCGGAAGCCUGAUACAGCAACGCCGCGUGCGGGAUGACGGCCUUCGGGUUGUAAACCGCUUUCGCCUGUGACGAAGCGUGAGUGACGGUAAUGGGUAAAGAAGCACCGGCUAACUACGUG